GAUGAACGCUGGCGGCGUGCCUAAUACAUGCAAGUCAAGCGAACAGACGAGGAGCUUGCUCCUCUGACGUUAGCGGCGGACGGGUGAGUAACACGUGGAUAACCUACCUAUAAGACUGGGAUAACUUCGGAAAACCGGAGCUAAUACCGGAUAAUAUAUUGAACCGCAUGGUUCAAUAGUGAAAGACGGUUUUGCUGUCACUUAUAGAUGGAUCCGCGCCGCAUUAGCUAGUUGGUAAGGUAACGGCUUACCAAGGCAACGAUGCGUAGCCGACCUGAGAGGGUGAUCGGCCACACUGGAACUGAGACACGGUCCAGACUCCUACGGGAGGCAGCAGUAGGGAAUCUUCCGCAAUGGGCGAAAGCCUGACGGAGCAACGCCGCGUGAGUGAUGAAGGUCUUCGGAUCGUAAAACUCUGUUAUUAGGGAAGAACAAAUGUGUAAGUAACUAUGCACGUCUUGACGGUACCUAAUCAGAAAGCCACGGCUAACUACGUG
This 497-nucleotide ribosomal RNA is filed under the name uncultured bacterium. RNAcentral describes it as "partial 16S ribosomal RNA". It matches the Rfam family "Bacterial small subunit ribosomal RNA", at positions 28 to 507 of the family's 1533-position model. The record is from RNAcentral.